UAAUAAGAUAAUUAAUUUAUUUUAAUGGGGGUUAAAGUAAUUUUAAUAGAAAAAAUUAAAAGUUUUAUAGUGUAAUAAAGUAUUGUAAAAGAAUUUUGAAAUAAAUGAAAAAAAAAAAUUAAUUAAAAGUAAUUUUUAUUUAAUGUAUCUUGUGUAUCAGAGUUUAUUAAAAAAUAUUCUUUGAAUUAUAGAAAUUCUCGAAUUUAAGAGAGAUAAUUAAUUAGAAAAGUUAUUGUGAUAUAAAUAUUUUUAAUAAUUAAUUGGAAAUGAAAUGUUAAAUCGUUCUUAAAUAUAUCUAGUUUUUUUAGAAAAAAAUUUAAUUUUCAAUUUAUCAUUUUUUUUUAUAAAUUAAUUAAUUAAUUUAUAAAAAUAUAAAUUUUAUAUUUUAAGGGAUAAGCUUUAAUUUAAAUAAAUAUAAUAAAUUAAAUUUAUUUUUUUUUGAAAAUUAUAUAAUUUAUAUUGUUAAUAAAUUUUAAUUUAUUAUAAAUAAUUUCAAUAAUAUAAGUAAAAUUUAAAUAAAAAUUUAAAAAUUUAUAAAAAAAAAUUUUUUAAUAAUAAAAAUUUAAUUAUAAUGAUAAAAUUAGUAUAUAAAUUUAAAAAUAAAAUAAAUUUUAAGUUAAUUAAUUAAAAGGAAUUCGGCAAAAAUUUAUAUUCACUUGUUUAACAAAAACAUGUCUUUUUGAAAAUAAUAUAAAGUCUGAUCUGCCCACUGAUUUAAAAAUUAAAGGGCUGCAGUAUAUUGACUGUACAAAGGUAGCAUAAUCAUUAGUCAUUUAAUUGAUGACUUGUAUGAAAGAUUGGAUGAAAUAUAAACUGUCUCUUAAUUAAUUUAUAGAAUUUAAUUUUUUAAUUAAAAAGUUAAAAUAAUUUAAAAAGACGAGAAGACCCUAUAGAGUUUUAUAUUUUAUAAAAUUUAAAUUAUUUAUAAAAUUAUAAAUUUUAAUUUUAUAAAAUAUUUUAUUGGGGUGAUAAAAAAAUUGGAAAAACUUUUUUUUAAGAAAAACAUAUAUAAGUGAGUAAAUGAUCCAGUAAUAUUGAUUAUAAGAAAAAAUUACCUUAGGGAUAACAGCGUAAUUUUUUUUUUUAGUUCAAAUAAAAAAAAGAGUUUGCGACCUCGAUGUUGGAUUAAGAUAAAAUUUAAAUGCAGAAGUUUAAAAUUUUGAUCUGUUCGAUCAUUAAAAUCUUACAUGAUCUGAGUUCAAACCGGUGUAAGCCAGGUUGGUUUCUAUCUUUUAAAAAAUAAAAUAUUUUAGUACGAAAGGAUUAAAUAUUUAAAUUAAAUUUAUUUUAUUGAAUUUUAUUAAAUU
Molecule: ribosomal RNA, 1307 nt
Filed under: Erebus macrops
Lineage: Eukaryota; Metazoa; Arthropoda; Insecta; Lepidoptera; Erebidae
Description: 16S ribosomal RNA
Source: RNAcentral